RNAcentral lists this ribosomal RNA (508 nucleotides) under uncultured bacterium. RNAcentral describes it as "partial 16S ribosomal RNA". It matches the Rfam family "Bacterial small subunit ribosomal RNA", at positions 28 to 523 of the family's 1533-position model. The record is from RNAcentral.
GAUGAACGCUAGCAAUAGGCUUAACACAUGCAAGUCGAGGGGAAACGAUAGAGAAAGCUUGCUUUUUCUAGGCGUCGACCGGCGCACGGGUGAGUAACGCGUAUCCAACCUGCCCACCUCUUGGGGAUAACCUUGCGAAAGUAAGACUAAUACCCAAUGAUAUCUCUAGAAGACAUCUGAAAGAGAUUAAAGAUUUAUCGGUGAUGGAUGGGGAUGCGUCUGAUUAGCUUGUUGGCGGGGUAACGGCCCACCAAGGCGACGAUCAGUAGGGGUUCUGAGAGGAAGGUCCCCCACAUUGGAACUGAGACACGGUCCAAACUCCUACGGGAGGCAGCAGUGAGGAAUAUUGGUCAAUGGGCGAGAGCCUGAACCAGCCAAGUAGCGUGCAGGAUGACGGCCCUAUGGGUUGUAAACUGCUUUUAUAAGGGAAUAAAGUGAGUCUCGUGAGACUUUUUGCAUGUACCUUAUGAAUAAGGACCGGCUAAUUCCGUGCCAGCAGCCGCGGUAA